AUAAUGGGUCAGCGACUUAUAUUCUGUAGCAAGGUUAACCGAAUAGGGGAGCCGAAGGGAAACCGAGUCUUAACUGGGCGUUAAGUUGCAGGGUAUAGACCCGAAACCCGGUGAUCUAGCCAUGGGCAGGUUGAAGGUUGGGUAACACUAACUGGAGGACCGAACCGACUAAUGUUGAAAAAUUAGCGGAUGACUUGUGGCUGGGGGUGAAAGGCCAAUCAAACCGGGAGAUAGCUGGUUCUCCCCGAAAGCUAUUUAGGUAGCGCCUCGUGAAUUCAUCUCCGGGGGUAGAGCACUGUUUCGGCAAGGGGGUCAUCCCGACUUACCAACCCGAUGCAAACUGCGAAUACCGGAGAAUGUUAUCACGGGAGACACACGGCGGGUGCUAACGUCCGUCGUGAAGAGGGAAACAACCCAGACCGCCAGCUAAGGUCCCAAAGUCAUGGUUAAGUGGGAAACGAUGUGGGAAGGCCCAGACAGCCAGGAUGUUGGCUUAGAAGCAGCCAUCAUUUAAAGAAAGCGUAAUAGCUCACUGGUCGAGUCGGCCUGCGCGGAAGAUGUAACGGGGCUAAACCAUGCACCGAAGCUGCGGCAGCGACGCUUAUGCGUUGUUGGGUAGGGGAGCGUUCUGUAAGCCUGCGAAGGUGUGCUGUGAGGCAUGCUGGAGGUAUCAGAAGUGCGAAUGCUGACAUAAGUAACGAUAAAGCGGGUGAAAAGCCCGCUCGCCGGAAGACCAAGGGUUCCUGUCCAACGUUAAUCGGGGCAGGGUGAGUCGACCCCUAAGGCGAGGCCGAAAGGCGUAGUCGAUGGGAAACAGGUUAAUAUUCCUGUACUUGGUGUUACUGCGAAGGGGGGACGGAGAAGGCUAUGUUGGCCGGGCGACGGUUGUCCCGGUUUAAGCGUGUAGGCUGGUUUUCCAGGCAAAUCCGGAAAAUCAAGGCUGAGGCGUGAUGACGAGGCACUACGGUGCUGAAGCAACAAAUGCCCUGCUUCCAGGAAAAGCCUCUAAGCAUCAGGUAACAUCAAAUCGUACCCCAAACCGACACAGGUGGUCAGGUAGAGAAUACCAAGGCGCUUGAGAGAACUCGGGUGAAGGAACUAGGCAAAAUGGUGCCGUAACUUCGGGAGAAGGCACGCUGAUAUGUAGGUGAAGUCCCUCGCGGAUGGAGCUGAAAUCAGUCGAAGAUACCAGCUGGCUGCAACUGUUUAUUAAAAACACAGCACUGUGCAAACACGAAAGUGGACGUAUACGGUGUGACGCCUGCCCGGUGC
RNAcentral lists this ribosomal RNA (1272 nucleotides) under Escherichia coli. RNAcentral's name for it is "partial 23S ribosomal RNA". It matches the Rfam family "Bacterial large subunit ribosomal RNA", at positions 612 to 1869 of the family's 2925-position model. The record is from RNAcentral. Lineage: Bacteria; Pseudomonadati; Pseudomonadota; Gammaproteobacteria; Enterobacterales; Enterobacteriaceae.